AGAAUCAACGCUGGCGGCGUGCCUAACACAUGCAAGUCGCACGAGAAAGGGUAGCAAUACCUGAGUACAGUGGCGCACGGGUGAGUAACACGUGAAUAAUCUACCUCCGAGUGGGGAAUAAACUGAGAGAAAUCUUAGCUAAUACCGCAUAACACUUACGAGUCAAAGCAGCAAUGCGCUUGGAGAGGAGUUCGCGGCCGAUUAGUUAGUUGGCGGGGUAAUGGCCCACCAAGACGAUGAUCGGUAUCCGGCCUGAGAGGGCGCACGGACACACUGGAACUGAAACACGGUCCAGACUCCUACGGGAGGCAGCAGUGGGGAAUUUUGCGCAAUGGGGGAAACCCUGACGCAGCAACGCCGCGUGGAGGAUGAAAUAUCUUGGUAUGUAAACUCCUUUCGAUGGGGAAGAUUAUGACGGUACCCAUAGAAGAAGCCCGGCUAACUUCGUGCCAGCAGCCGC
This 460-nucleotide ribosomal RNA is filed under the name uncultured bacterium. RNAcentral's name for it is "SSU rRNA". It matches the Rfam family "Bacterial small subunit ribosomal RNA", at positions 26 to 518 of the family's 1533-position model. The record is from RNAcentral.